CUGCGAGUUCGCGGGAGAGUAGGUUAUUGCCAGGGUUUUUUAUUUUAUACUUCAAAUCUUGAAUUUAUUUUUUAUGUUUUUAAAUGUUUAUUUUUUUUAAUGUUUGAUUUAAAAAAAUAUAAAAAAUAAAAUAGAUAUUGACAUGGAUUAAACAAAGAUAUAUAUUAUUCUAUGUUGCAUAAACAAAUUGGCAAAGUAGAGAUGGAAGAUAAAAAUAUGGUCAAAGUAAUAAGAGUCUAUGGUGAAUGCCUAGGA
Molecule: unclassified non-coding RNA, 255 nt
Filed under: [Borrelia] lusitaniae
Lineage: Bacteria; Pseudomonadati; Spirochaetota; Spirochaetia; Spirochaetales; Borreliaceae
Description: Borreliella lusitaniae partial miscellaneous RNA
Source: RNAcentral